Molecule: ribosomal RNA, 485 nt
Filed under: uncultured bacterium
Lineage: Bacteria
Description: partial 16S ribosomal RNA
Rfam family: Bacterial small subunit ribosomal RNA
Source: RNAcentral
GAAACUCAANNGAAUUGACGGGGGCCCGCACANNCGGUGGAGCAUGUGGUUUAAUUNGAAGCAACGCGAAGANCCUUACCAGGUCUUGACAUCCCGAUGCUAUUUCUAGAGAUAGGAAGUUACUUCGGUACAUCGGUGACAGGUGGUGCAUGGUUGUCGUCAGCUCGUGUCGUGAGAUGUUGGGUUAANNNNNAANNACGAGCGCAACCCCUAUUGUUAGUUGCCAUCAUUCAGUUGGGCACUCUAGCAAGACUGCCGGUAAUAAACCGGAGGAAGGUGGGGAUGACGUCAAAUCAUCAUGCCCCUUAUGACCUGGGCUACACACGUGCUACAAUGGUUGGUACAACGAGUUGCGAGUCGGUGACGGCGAGCUAAUCUCUUAAAGCCAAUCUCAGUUCGGAUUGUAGGCUGCAACUCGCCUACAUGAAGUCGGAAUCGCUGGUAAUCGCGGAUCAGCACGCCGCGGNGAAUACGUUCCCGGGCCU